UUACGCCCAUAUCACGUUGAAACACCGGUUCCAUUAUGAUCACCAAAGUUAAGCAAUCUCGAGCCUAGUCUGUCUCUCGAUGGGUGACCGCUUGUAAAUACCAAGUGA
Molecule: non-coding RNA, 108 nt
Organism: Acanthosepion pharaonis
Lineage: Eukaryota; Metazoa; Mollusca; Cephalopoda; Sepiida; Sepiidae
Source: the annotation of a GenBank genome assembly